GACGAACGCUGGCGGCGUGCUUAACACAUGCAAGUCGAACGGAAAGGCCCUGCUUGCAGGGUACUCGAGUGGCGAACGGGUGAGUAACACGUGGGUGAUCUGCCCUGCACUUCGGGAUAAGCCUGGGAAACUGGGUCUAAUACCGGAUAGGAGCCAUUUUUAGUGUGAUGGUUGGAAAGUUUUUUCGGUGUAGGAUGAGCUCGCGGCCUAUCAGCUUGUUGGUGGGGUAAUGGCCUACCAAGGCGGCGACGGGUAGCCGGCCUGAGAGGGUGGACGGCCACAUUGGGACUGAGAUACGGCCCAGACUCCCACGGGAGGCAGCAGUGGGGAAUAUUGCACAAUGGGCGCAAGCCUGAUGCAGCGACGCCGCGUGGGGGAUGACGGCCUUCGGGUUGUAAACUCCUUUCGCUAGGGACGAAGCUUUUUGUGACGGUACCUAGAUAAGAAGCACCGGCUAACUACGUG
Molecule: ribosomal RNA, 465 nt
Filed under: uncultured bacterium
Lineage: Bacteria
Description: partial 16S ribosomal RNA
Rfam family: Bacterial small subunit ribosomal RNA
Source: RNAcentral